GCAGUCUGCAACUCGACUGCAUGAAGCUGGAAUCGCUAGUAAUCGCAGAUCAGAAUGCUGCGGUGAAUACGUUCCCGGGUCUUGUACACACCGCCCGUCACACCAUGGGAGCCGACAACGCCCGAAGUCAGUGACCUAACCGAGAGGGAGGAGCUGCCGAAGGCGGGUUGGUAACUGGGGUGAAGUCGUAACAAGGUACC
Molecule: ribosomal RNA, 200 nt
Filed under: uncultured bacterium
Lineage: Bacteria
Description: partial 16S ribosomal RNA
Rfam family: Bacterial small subunit ribosomal RNA
Source: RNAcentral